This 4917-nucleotide long non-coding RNA is filed under the name Vitis vinifera (wine grape). RNAcentral describes it as "long non-coding RNA (VVIN_LNC001218)". The record is from RNAcentral. Lineage: Eukaryota; Viridiplantae; Streptophyta; Magnoliopsida; Vitales; Vitaceae.
ACGGUAAUGUGUAUCAAAUAAUAUUUCUUUCUCUCGAUUUUUUUACUAAUUUAUUUUUACAAAAUUCAGUAAAUUAAUAUUUCCUUCAGAGAAUAGAUCCGAAAAGCUACUUGAAUUAACUCAUAUUGUUCUUCUCUCAAAAUCCAAGUCCACUUGGUGAAUAAUAGGACCUAUAUUUGAGUGGGCCGUUUAUGAAUUGGGCCAGAUCCAAAGCCCAAUUUCUCAGGAUUUUUCCCGAUGUAGAGAGUAUUAACUAUUAACCCAAAUGGGCAUUUCUCGUGACUCUUUUUCUUUUCCAACGGUUUGCCCAACAACUCAAAACAAAAUGCCAAAAGAAAGAAGAAAGAAUUCAAGGGGUGCAUAGUGGUGAUGCAGGGAUUUUUUGCGUCUGGAUUUAUGGUGGUCCUAGUCAGCUGGUGUGUACGCAAGAGGGGUCCUCUUUUUGUAUCAAUCUUCAACCCUCUCAUGCUGGUAUUUGUGGCCAUCCUUGGUUCCUUAAUCCUCGAUGAGAAGUUGCAUCUCGGAAGGUCCCCUCUCCGCUCUCCCUUCUAUCUAUAAUUUGCUUCAUUCAUAUGAAGUUUAGUAACAUGGCAUCUGUAUUUGUAUUUGUAUUUGCGUGUAGCAGUAUAAUAGGAGGGGUGCUGAUAGUAAUUGGGUUAUACGCCAUGUUGUGGGCAAAAGGGGCGGAGAUGAAGAGCAUGGCCACACUCUCACAUUCCAAAAGCUCCAAAGAGGCAGAAAUAAUAAAUGUGGGCACAGCCCCAGCUAAAGAUGAUGAGGAUGCUAUUGCUAGUGAUGUAUCAACUGCAGCUGCCGCCAACCCCAGACAGUGAUAAGUAUCGAGUAUGAUCAGAUUAUAUUUGAUUAACUGAUUCAUUCAUUCGUCAAUGGUCUCGUGGUGAAUAUCAAAAUACACAAAAAUAAUCUAUCGGCACAAUAUGUCUAAGAGUCUUAUAUGUUUACAUGAACCCAAUAAAUAUAGAACAAACUCAAAUCUGACAGAGAUGAUAUUUAACAAGCAAGAGAAACAACUCCCACCUCAAGUCUUCUUUGUUAAACGAUAAAAAAUAAAAAAAAAUAUAGGAAAAUGAGGCAAAUGUGCUUCUUCUUGAACCUUAGAAGCCUUCAUCUAUCACACUUUGGCAUUCCUAACUGAGCUUCAUUUUUCUUCUGUUGUUUUCUUCUCCUCAGUUGUUUUGGGUUGUUCCACCUCUGCUGCUCCUGCUGCUGCUUCAAUAUCUAUCUUUUUUUCACUGGAUGAGACAGGGGCUUCUUCCACUGGGGUCCCUGACUUCUCAACUUCUGGGAGUUUCUGUUCGGUAGAUGAGACUGGGGGUUCUUCCACUGGGAUUUUGGACUUUUCCACUUCUGGGAGUGUCUGUUCAGUAGAUGAGACCAGGGCUUCCUCAACAGGAGUUUCAGAUUUUUUGCAACUUUGAGUUUCUUUUCACAUUCCUCAGUGGCCUUUUCAAUAAGUGACUUUGUUCUUGUUUUGUUACCUCAGAUUGUACCUUAUCUUCUUCUUUAUUUGAAUAAUCCCCCUCUUCAUUCUGUGCACAAAGCAGUUCAAAAUUUAAACACAAGAACAGAACAGAGUGCCAUUGAGAGAUUGAAAAAAGACAUCAAUCAUUCUACAAUUCUUCAUCAUUAAAUCAAUUGUACCAGAUUGAAUAAUUCUCAUGAUCAGACUAAUGAAAUCUUACUCAAUUAUGUUCAUAAAGCAAUAUUUGACUAACCUCGAUUCUACAGAUACGGCCAAAUGCCAUAAUCUGAGCCCAAGAAUUGGAAGCUCCGUUUUCAUUAUAACCACGCAAUGCUCAACAAAGACAAAAGGUAAAAAUAUGAAGUUCAACAACCAUCAGCAACCAAUGUGAGAAUCUCACUGAGAGAACCCAUUGAUGAAACCAGUUAAAACAUUAUGACCAGAUGGUUCCAACAAGCAGUACAGAGAAUCUACUGGGGAAAUUUCGGUCCCCUUAUGUAUCAUAAUCGGAUCAAUUAUGAAUGGCUUUUGAUAUGUGGACCAUCCACAUAAAAUCUGUUUGACGUCCUUUUCAUCUCAUGUUGAAAAGGAGCUUAAUAUUAAAAUAAAAAAUCUCACAAAUACAAAUUCUCUACGUCUGUAAGACUUAAAUUUCACAAAAAUGUAACGAAGGCAGGUAAUAAAGGAAAGGAAAUACUGGAGGUCCAAAACAUUGAAGCACGCCUGUGAUGAAACUGGACAGGAGUCCUCAAUCCUUGAUAGGGCUCCCUAUAAAGGAGAAACGCAUCCCGGAAGCUCCUGCCCUUCUCUCUGGAUAGACUGUUAUAGACCCUUUUUUUUUCAUUGAGAUUCUAAUAUCGACUUGAUUCUUGGUUAUGGGUGGGAAGCUCUGCAACAUUGUUGAUGGGGCGAAACCAGCCAUAGUAAUGGUGGUUGCGCAACUAGCCUCUGGAGGAGUUCAAAUUUUGUACAAGCUGGCUAUCAACGAUGGCAUGAACACCAGGGUUCUUAUAGCCUAUAGAUACAUCUUUGCCACAGCUUUUAUAUCUUCUCUUGCUUUCAUCUUGGAAAGGUGGUAAUCUUCAUCUUCUUCUUCUUCUUCUUCAUUUUUUGGUUCCGAACAUCUCCUUUUGACAGGAAGAGCCGUCCAAGAUUGACAUGGAUGAUAGCUCUACAAGGGUUUCUAUGCGGAUUAUUUGGGUAUGAAAAUUAAACGAAAAUAAUCACUUUAUAUGCAUUGGUUCAUGUGAUCUUCAUAGAUGCUAGCUUUUUCUACCAUUUCUGAACUUGUUGCAGUAGCGAAAGCUUUGCAUGAAGAAGAUGAUAAAUGCUGACAUAAAGAUAUGAUACCAAUAACUGGUUUCAAUUUAAUGCUCCUUCUCUUAAUGGUUUCAUUCAUGUCAACUCCUUUGUGAGAAGCAUUUUGGUAUGAAUGAUGAAUCAUUUCAGAGGGAUGAUCAUAGUUUUGGCAUUUUAUGAGAUUAAUUAUAAAUGUUGAAAUUGUGUUUCAGAGGAGCAUUGGGUCAGAAUUUGUACGUCGAAAGCAUGGUUCUAACAUCUCCGACUUUUUCAGCGGCCAUGGCUAACCUCAUUCCGGCUGUUACGUUCAUCUUCGCCAUUUUUUUAGGGUACAAUAACCAUAUGGAUCUUUAUUUUCUUAUCAUUUAUUAUUAUUAUUAUUAUUAUGAUUAUUAUAAAUUUUUUAAUAGAGGUGGGAAAAUUCAUUUGAACUUACCACGUGAGUAUAGAACGAUAUUAGGCAAACCUAAUUUCUGUUGAAGAUUAGUUUGGACAUAUCUUGUGAAUGGAAAGUAUAGCAUGAAAUGUUAGUUUGGAGUCGAAUCCUUUAGCCCUCGUACCAGGUAUGGCUGGGAAGCAAAGUUGGAAAUAUACUAAACAUCCCUGAUUUCAAUCUUAAGAAGAAACAACUCUUUAGAUAAUUGUUUUAAAAAAAAAUAUAAAGAAUAAAAAUAAAAUAAAACUACAAAUUUUAAAAGUCUAUUUAAUUUUCAAAAUAAUUUCAUUCAUUUUUCAUCUUUUAUAUAAAAAUUAAAUAAUUUAAAAUUUUAUAAGGUUUCCAUUAAUUUUAAUUAUAUUUUCAUGAUAAAUCAAAUAUAAAAAAUUAUUUUCAUUUAACUUUUUUUUAAUAUUUUCUUAAAAUCAAAUAUAACCUUAAUAUAACCUUGAUAAAAUAUAACAUAACUCAUGUUUACUUAAUUUUAGUCUUUGAUAUUUUAUUUCAUGACAUAUAUUCUAAGAUGAUAAAUGAAUAAACUCUCUACUUUCUCAAUUAAAGACUUCUAUUAAAGAGAUAAUGAUUUUAAAUUUUAUUUUAAAAUAUUAAAGUAUUUAAAAAAACUUAUCUUCUUGAUUUUAAAAUUUUUUAAGAAUAUAAGGUAAAUCCGUUUUCAUUUUUUAUAUUAAAAUUAUUAUUAUUUUCUGUUUUAAAAUUUUAAAAAUUAAAAAAAUAAAUAAAUAAAUAAAAGAGAGAGAGAGAGAGAGAGAAAAGUUACAACUUCUUGUUUCCAUGGUCAUGAAUUUUGACUUGUGUGUACAUUAACAUAACAUUUAUGUUUAUGUGAACUAAAUCCCGAGCCUUGAAUGAAUAAUGAAUAGGUUGGAGAAGUUGGCGAUCCGAACGUGGGCAGGGAAGGCUAAGGUGACUGGCACCCUAUUGGGCAUAGGUGGAGCCAUGGUCCUCACCUUCUACAAAGGACCACAGAUCAACAUAUGGUCAACCAAAGUUCACCUGUUAAAGCACAAAAACCAACACGUGGCAGCAUCACACCGGGGGAUGGAUAAUCGUGUGUUGGGCUCAUUACUGGCUGUAGCAAGUUGUUUCUCCUAUGCAACCUGGUAUAUAAUCCAGGUAAUUCUGGCUCCAUAUUUUUCUCCAAUGCACCCAAAGUACCCUCAUAUAAAUUUAUUAAUCCUAUAUCACCCCUUGAAUGUGAACAGGCGAAGAUGGGAGAGAGGUACCCAUUUGACUACUCUAGCACUGCUCUAAUGUGUGCUUCUGCAUCGGUCCAAACAGUUGUGUAUGCCAUGUGUAAGGAAACAAAUUGGUCCGCGUGGAAGCUCGGAUGGAACAUCAGACUUCUCACUGUUGCCUACACGGUAAUGUGUAUCAAAUAAUAUUUCUUUCUCUCAAUUUUUUUAUUAAUUUAUUUUUACAAAAUUCAGUAAAGAAUAGAUCCGAAAAGCUACUUGAAUUAAUUCAUAUUGUUCUUCUCUCAAAAUCCAAGUCCACUUAGUGAAUAAUAGGACCUAUAUUUGAGUGGGCCGUUUCUGAAUUGGGCCAGAUCCAAAGCCCAAUUUCUCAGGCUUUUUCCCGAUGUAGAGAGUAUUAACCCAAAUGGGCAUUCCAAACUCAAAACAAAAUGCCAAAAGAAAGAAGAAAGAAUUCAAGGGGUGCAUAGUGGUGAUGCAGGGAU